This 660-nucleotide ribosomal RNA is filed under the name uncultured bacterium. RNAcentral's name for it is "bacterial SSU rRNA". It matches the Rfam family "Bacterial small subunit ribosomal RNA", at positions 8 to 694 of the family's 1533-position model. The record is from RNAcentral.
AGAGUUUGAUCCUGGCUCAGGACGAACGCUGGCGGUGUGCUUCACACAUGCAAGUCGAACGGAGUAGCAAUACUCAGUGGCGGACGGGUGAGUAACACGUGGGAAUCUACCAUUAGGUGGGGAAUAACAGGCCGAAAGGACUGCUAAUGCCGCAUAUGUAGGCAUCUCGACAGAGAUGUUUAUGAAAGGAGUAAUCCGCCUUUUGAUGAGCCCGCGUCCGAUUAGCUAGUUGGUAGGGUAAAAGCCUACCAAGGCGACGAUCGGUAGGUGGUCUGAGAGGAUGAUCACCCACAAUGGGACUGAGACACGGCCCAUACUCCUACGGGAGGCAGCAGUGGGGAAUUUUACGCAAUGGGGGAAACCCUGACGUAGCGACACCGCGUGAGCGAAGAAGCCCUUUGGGGUGUAAAGCUCUGCCAACAGGAACGAAACAAAUGACGGUACCUGUGGAGGAAGCAUCGGCUAACUACGUGUCAGCAGCCGCGGUAAGACGUAGGAUGCAAGCGUUGUCCGGAUUUAUUGGGCGUAAAGAGUUCGUAGGCGGUUUGUUAAGUCUGAUGUUAAAGACCGGGGCUCAACCUCGGAAAUGCAUUGGAUACUGGCAGACUGGAGUGCAGUAGAGGCUAGUGGAAUUCCCAGUGUAGCGGUGAAAUGCGUAGA